AUUGAACGCUGGCGGCAGGCCUAACACAUGCAAGUCGAACGGUAACAGGAAGCAGCUUGCUGCUUCGCUGACGAGUGGCGGACGGGUGAGUAAUGUCUGGGAAGCUGCCUGAUGGAGGGGGAUAACUACUGGAAACGGUAGCUAAUACCGCAUAAUGUCGCAAGACCAAAGAGGGGGACCUUCGGGCCUCUUGCCAUCGGAUGUGCCCAGAUGGGAUUAGCUUGUUGGUGGGGUAACGGCUCACCAAGGCGACGAUCCCUAGCUGGUCUGAGAGGAUGACCAGCCACACUGGAACUGAGACACGGUCCAGACUCCUACGGGAGGCAGCAGUGGGGAAUAUUGCACAAUGGGCGCAAGCGUGAUGCAGCCAUGCCGCGUGUAUGAAGAAGGCCUUCGGGUUGUAAAGUACUUUCAGCGGGGAGGAAGGGAGUAAAGUUAAUACCUUUGCUCAUUGACGUUACCCGAAGAAGAAGCACCGGCUAACUCCGUG
This 490-nucleotide ribosomal RNA is filed under the name uncultured bacterium. RNAcentral's name for it is "partial 16S ribosomal RNA". It matches the Rfam family "Bacterial small subunit ribosomal RNA", at positions 30 to 507 of the family's 1533-position model. The record is from RNAcentral.